AAAUCACCCAGGGGUCUUGUUAAAAUGCAGAUUCUGACACAAUAGGUCUAGAAAUUCUGAGUUUCUAACAAGCUCCCAGGUGACAUCAGUGCUGCU
MicroRNA precursor from Mustela putorius furo (domestic ferret), 96 nucleotides. NCBI's taxonomy places the organism in Eukaryota, Metazoa, Chordata, Mammalia, Carnivora, Mustelidae. The record is from Ensembl.